GACGAACGCUGGCGGCGUGCUUAACACAUGCAAGUCGAACGGUGAAGGGACCGGUUUUUGCUGGUUCUGGAUGAGUGGCGAACGGGUGAGUAACACGUGAGUAACCUGCCCCCUUCUUCUGGAUAACCGCAUGAAAGUGUGGCUAAUACGGGAUAUUCUGCGCCUGCUGCAUGGUGGGUGUGGGAAAGAUAUUGUUUCGGUGGGGGAUGGGCUCGCGGCCUAUCAGCUUGUUGGUGGGGUGAUGGCCUACCAAGGCGGUGACGGGUAGCCGGCCUGAGAGGGUGGACGGUCACACUGGGACUGAGACACGGCCCAGACUCCUACGGGAGGCAGCAGUGGGGAAUAUUGCACAAUGGGCGCAAGCCUGAUGCAGCGACGCCGCGUGAGGGAUGGAGGCCUUCGGGUUGUAAACCUCUUUCGCCAGUGAAGCAGGCCUGUCCCUUUUGUGGGUGGGUUGACGGUAGCUGGAUAAGAAGCGCCGGCUAACUACGUGC
This 494-nucleotide ribosomal RNA is filed under the name uncultured bacterium. RNAcentral describes it as "partial 16S ribosomal RNA". It matches the Rfam family "Bacterial small subunit ribosomal RNA", at positions 28 to 508 of the family's 1533-position model. The record is from RNAcentral.